Molecule: long non-coding RNA, 224 nt
Organism: Agelaius phoeniceus (red-winged blackbird)
Lineage: Eukaryota; Metazoa; Chordata; Aves; Passeriformes; Icteridae
Source: RefSeq, a predicted model, not a curated record
UCCCAACCGACUGGGGCCACAGCAACAUGGCCAAGGAGAUCCGGGAGGCUCCCAUCAACCCAGCCAGCAAGAGGAAGAGGGAUGAUGUGGCUCUGGAGCAGCAGGAGUCCUGGUUUGUGGUGCUGGAGAGGGAUUUGCCAGAGGAUGACCCUGAAGACAUCUCGUAUGAGCCCUCAGAGCUGGAGUCAGACAGUGAGGAGUACCAGACCCAAAAUGACACCGAC